Molecule: ribosomal RNA, 440 nt
Filed under: uncultured bacterium
Lineage: Bacteria
Description: partial 16S ribosomal RNA
Rfam family: Bacterial small subunit ribosomal RNA
Source: RNAcentral
CCUACGGGAGGCAGCAGUGGGGAAUAUUGCACAAUGGGGGAAACCCUGAUGCAGCGACGCCGCGUGAGUGAAGAAGUAUUUCGGUAUGUAAAGCUCUAUCAGCAGGGAAGAAAAUGACGGUACCUGAUUAAGAAGCCCCGGCUAACUACGUGCCAGCAGCCGCGGUAAUACGUAGGGGGCAAGCGUUAUCCGGAUUUACUGGGUGUGAAGGGAGCGUAGACGGCAGCACAAGUCUGGAGUGAAAGGCCGGGGCUUAACCCCGGAACUGCGUUGGAAACUGUGCAGCUAGAGUGCAGGAGAGGGAAGUGGAAUGCCUAGUGUAGCGGUGAAAUGCGUAGAUAUUAGGAGGAACACCAGUGGCGAAGGCGGCUUCCUGGACUGUAACUGACGUUGAGGCUCGAAAGCGUGGGGAGCAAACAGGAUUAGAUACCCUGGUAGUC